Molecule: ribosomal RNA, 444 nt
Filed under: uncultured bacterium
Lineage: Bacteria
Description: partial 16S ribosomal RNA
Rfam family: Bacterial small subunit ribosomal RNA
Source: RNAcentral
UGGGGAAUUUUGGACAAUGGGGGAAACCCUGAUCCAGCCAUCCCGCGUGUGCGAUGAAGGCCUUCGGGUUGUAAAGCACUUUUGGCAGGAAAGAAACGUCGUGGGUUAAUACCCCGCGAAACUGACGGUACCUGCAGAAUAAGCACCGGCUAACUACGUGCCAGCAGCCGCGGUAAUACGUAGGGUGCAAGCGUUAAUCGGAAUUACUGGGCGUAAAGCGUGCGCAGGCGGUUCGGAAAGAAAGAUGUGAAAUCCCAGAGCUUAACUUUGGAACUGCAUUUUUAACUACCGGGCUAGAGUGUUGUCAGAGGGAGGUGGAAUUCCGCGUGUAGCAGUGAAAUGCGUAGAUAUGCGGAGGAACACCGAUGGCGAAGGCAGCCUCCUGGGAUAACACUGACGCUCAUGCACGAAAGCGUGGGGAGCAAACAGGAUUAGAUACCCUGG